AAUGGGGGAAACCCUGAUGCAGCGACGCCGCGUGAGCGAAGAAGUAUUUCGGUAUGUAAAGCUCUAUCAGCAGGGAAGAAGAAAUGACGGUACCUGACUAAGAAGCACCGGCUAAAUACGUGCCAGCAGCCGCGGUAAUACGUAUGGUGCAAGCGUUAUCCGGAUUUACUGGGUGUAAAGGGAGCGCAGGCGGUACGGCAAGUCUGAUGUGAAAGCCCGGGGCUCAACCCCGGUACUGCAUUGGAAACUGUCGGACUAGAGUGUCGGAGGGGUAAGUGGAAUUCCUAGUGUAGCGGUGAAAUGCGUAGAUAUUAGGAGGAACACCAGUGGCGAAGGCGGCUUACUGGACGAUUACUGACGCUGAGGCUCGAAAGCGUGGGGAGCAAA
RNAcentral lists this ribosomal RNA (387 nucleotides) under uncultured bacterium. RNAcentral describes it as "bacterial SSU rRNA". It matches the Rfam family "Bacterial small subunit ribosomal RNA", at positions 370 to 772 of the family's 1533-position model. The record is from RNAcentral.